GACGAACGCUGGCGGCGUGCUUAACACAUGCAAGUCGAACGGAAAGGCCCUGCUUUUGUGGGGUGCUCGGGUGGCGAACGGGUGAGUAACACGUGAGUAACCUGCCCUUCACUUUGGGAUAACUUCAGGAAACUGGGGCUAAUACCGGAUAGGAGCUCCUGCUGCAUGGUGGGGGUUGGAAAGUUUCGGCGGUUGGGGAUGGACUCGCGGCUUAUCAGCUUGUUGGUGGGGUAGUGGCUUACCAAGGCUUUGACGGGUAGCCGGCCUGAGAGGGUGACCGGCCACAUUGGGACUGAGAUACGGCCCAGACUCGUACGGGAGGCAGCAGUGGGGAAUAUUGCACAAUGGGCGGGAGCCUGAUGCAGCAACGCCGCGUGCGGGAUGACGGCCUUCGGGUUGUGAACCGCUUCCGCCUGUGACGAAGCGUUAGUGACGGUACUGGGUAAAGAAGCACCGGCUAACUACGUG
This 468-nucleotide ribosomal RNA is filed under the name uncultured bacterium. RNAcentral's name for it is "partial 16S ribosomal RNA". It matches the Rfam family "Bacterial small subunit ribosomal RNA", at positions 28 to 507 of the family's 1533-position model. The record is from RNAcentral.